RNAcentral lists this long non-coding RNA (8161 nucleotides) under Ananas comosus (pineapple). Its description in RNAcentral is "long non-coding RNA (ACOM_LNC016534)". Lineage: Eukaryota; Viridiplantae; Streptophyta; Magnoliopsida; Poales; Bromeliaceae. The record is from RNAcentral.
UGAAACCCCCCUGCUAGCGCAGCAACCUGCGCUCGCAACUCUUGUACCUCACUAGCCCUCUAGCGCCACCGGAGGCACAGCUGACUCGGGCACCACAGGAGGUGGGGCCGGAGCAAUCCGACGCACGUAGCGUCUCUUCGGUGCCAUAAGCUCCUGAAAUGCAAACAAUCGGUUAAUCACCUAACCCAACAACGUCUUCGCAGUUACGAAACGACAUAGCUCAACUACGUUAAUCAGACGGAAGCUCAUAAGUGUACCCGUUCUUGACUCUCGGCAUUGUGUUGUCGGCCGCCAACACAACCGCCUUAGGCCAAGGACUAGUAUCACUCAAUUCACCUCUAGAAACUACUAGAGCAUCAUCAUCCACUUCGACCCAAUCUAUCAACUUCCGUCGCAUCAUCGGUCCACGUCGCACUCACGCACCUAUAACCUUAUGGUUCAACAUCCUAGAGUCUCCUAGGUCAGUCCUAGACUCUCUCUUUUGCUUGCUCUUACUCGCUCUGAUACCACGACUGUCACGCCCCCGCCCCAAGUCCGCUACCGAUUUGGUCCGGUUCGGGCGCGGCGAAUGGACCGCCGAACGGACAGCAACUCCCCUGUCCGCCCAAGGCUUCAACAAAGAGGUCAUGUACACAAGUUCCCAGGAAACACACUUGUUCACAUACAUGAUCUAACAAUGACGACGAAGCACAAACAGUGCUUAACAACCAAGAGCAAGCAACACAGGUAAGUAUACAAGUUAUAAAAAGAGAGAAGUACUUAACUAUUGAACUCAUUUAACUUUACAUAACUCUUUCAUCUUUUACAGUCUUCCAAAACAUAUGUACAAUCACUCUCAAAUCCUCACCCUAUACAACAUCUACUCUCAAACAUAGUUACAAGGUAAAGCUAAUGCAAAAGGAAGUAGAGUUAGCUAUGUACAUAUGCCACUAUGGUGCUAGGCCCUUGCCGCGAUUCUCAUCGGGGCUACUCGAACUCGGACCUACAACAAAGUGGUAUGAGAACUACAAAUAGUUCCGAGUGGGUUCGGCCGCCAACUCCGCCGAUCUUCCCACUAGGUCUAAGCAGGCACAGAUAGAUAUGCAGAUAGAUAGAUAUAUAUAACUGAAAGCAUUAACAAGGAAUAAGCAAGUAUAGGUAUGAACAUCUAACUAUGCCUCAAUCUGGAAUCAUGCAUGCAUGUCAUUCAUAUUGAAUUCGUAGCUACCAUACUACUAUGCUCAAUAAUAAGGGUUGUUCAUUACUUUACCCAAUCAUUCGAUCAUCCGGCAACACAAUCUCACAUUGAUAAGUCUCAUAGGGAAAAGCCUCGCUGAACUAUUCUCCGAGACCGCCUGCGGACAGAUACACUCACUGUCCAGGCAGCGCAUGGCGACUGCCCCUCGAGUGACAAAUACUCCGGAGUGCACAGCCUGUGGGGAGCGACCCUGACAAGCGCAGACAGGCUAUGUGAGUAUAAUCUGAACUCACGAACUGGUCCUACCAACUAAGGUUGGUGUCAACAUAGAAUAAAGCGUUCCAAUACCCAAGCUCAUAGUGUUUUGCUACACUAGGGUUCUUAUGUUCAAUAUCAACUAGAUGCCACUCGUUUGUGUUCAUGGUUAACUAGAUGCCACUCGUUCUUUUGACAAGUUCUCAUUACUCUAGUCCACAUUGUACUAGGUUUCCAUAGCUACAUGUACAUCCAACACAUAUAGGAUUAAACUGUAUCAUACUACCUUGAGCACACUAGGUUCUAGUGCUAUAUCAACUAAGACGCAUUAACACUAGCAUGCAAACAUAGAUAUUACUAACUUAGUUCCCUAUAUGCCAUAUGUUCAAUAUGCAACUGAUCAACAUAGUAACUCAGACAUAGGGAGCAGUUCAACUGCUUCGGGAUGGCACUCCCCCACCUUUUGGUAGUGCCGCGUAGUUAGCAAACUCGACGUUGCGGUCCUCGUACGUCGCUUCAACUCCUCGGGGGAAAGCGAACCCUCAAGUAUCAGUUUCGGCGAUAUCUUCGCGCUCGCUCGUCGGAUCGACGAACCGUCUUCGCCUACGCGUUCGAAGACUUAGCAAUUAGGUUUACGACCUAUUAAACAAGAUCAAAACCUUACAUUUCCAAAAAUCCCUUAUCGUGCCCUAGAAUGGCAACGAUGGAGAAAUCCGUGGUGCGAGCUUCCAUUUCGAGCUCGAACCAUCUCCUUAACCUCAAUAGGUUCCAUUCGAACCAUUUCUAAGCUAUAAAACCCAAUCUUAAGAAAUCCACCAUGGUUGGGUUUGGAGCUUACCUCUUUACCAAGCUCCAAGCAUGCUCUAGCUUGAGGGAGAGAGAGAGGAAGAUGAUCUUCUUCUUCUCCUUGCUCUUCUCCUUCUUCUUUCUCUACUUCUUCUUUUCUUUCUUCUCCUUCUUCUCUUCUUCUUUUCCUUCGUUCUAGAGAGAGAGAGGGAGAGAAAGAAAGGGCAAAUGAGACAACAGAGAGAGAGAGAGGGGUCCCCCACCUCUCACAUAGGCCAAUUUGCAAAUAAGCCCCUCAACUUUCCAUCUAUUAAAUAGCCUCUCACUGGGCAUUUUCGCAGUGAGGGACCGGUCCUAGCUCGGGGAGACCGGUCCCCGAGAGCCUCACAUUCUGGCAGAGGGGAUUUCGCGUUCGGGAACCGGUCCCUGCCUGAGAGACCGGUCCCCGAGAGACCGGUCCUUGUCCGAGAGACCGGUUCCCGAGAGUUGAAUUUUCGGGACUUAGCCAAAUUUCGGCUUCUCUCGCUGGGUUAACGUUCGGGGACCGGUUCUUACCUGCCAGAGACCGGUUGCAUCAAGGAUCCCCGCCGACCCAGCCUGAUGGGACCGGUCCCUCCCUGCCAGGGACCGGUCCCCGAGAGCAAUUCUGCUCCAGUGCAGAUUUUGCACUGCAGCUCUCGCGGACUUUUCCUUAAUGCACUUUAUGCAUUCUAAGUAUCUUCGGACUUUCCGAAGCUUACACCCUCGACGAUUAGUCGGUUCCAAACGAAGUCUAAUCCUCGAAUUUUGAGAAUUCACUUCCUUACAUCCUCCCCACCUUAAAAGAGUUUCGUCCUCGAAACGAACUCAAUAUUACAAAACUUAUUUAGAACUUUAAAUUCUAAACUCAUACCUCGAUUUACUCCUCGAACAAGUGAGGGUGAUUCGCUUUCAUCUCCUCCUCGAGCUCCCAGGUAGCUUCGCGAUCGCUAUGAUUGCUCCACCGGACUCGAACAUAGGGAAUUUCUCGAUUCCUCAACUUACGUACUUCCCGAGCCAAAAUCAUCACCGGAAACUCCUCGUAGCUCAUAUCUUCUUGCAGUUCCGGCGGUUCAUAAACUAAGACAUGCUCAGGAUCAUGCACAUACUUGCGGAGAUUAGAGACGUGGAAUACGUUGUGCACACCCGCAAGCUUGGGUGGCAAUGCUAGUCGGUAAGCCACCGUCCCAAUCCGCUCCAAGAUCUCGUAGGGGCCGAUAUAACGAGGACUUAACUUCCCUCGCACCCCAAAUCUUUUCACGCCUCUCAUUGGCGAAACUUUCAAGAACACGCGGUCACCCACCGUGAACUCCAAGUCUCUAUGGCGCCUAUUUGAAUAGCUUUUCUGUCGAGACUGCGCCGUGAGCAAUCUCUUGCGAGCAAGGUGGACUUUCUACUCCGCCUCUUGCAACACAUCGGGACCGAACUCUACAUGCUCGCCCACAUCACUCCAAUGAAUGGGAGAUCGGCACUUCCGCCCAUAAAAAGCCUCGAACGGUGCCAUUCCCACACUCGCGUGAUAGCUGUUGUUGUAGGCGAACUCGGCCAUCGGCAGGUGCUUACACCAACUCCCCUUAUAAUCAAUGGCACACGCCCGCAACAUAUUCUCCAAGGUCUGAAUGGUUCUCUCGGUCUGCCCAUCAGUCUGAGGAUGAAACGCGGUACUGAACUCGAGUUGUGUGCCAAGGGCUUCCUGCAGGCUUUUCCAAAAGUGUGAAGUGAACUUGGGGUCUCGAUACGACACAAUCGACUUCGGCACCCCGUGCAGCCUCACCACCUCAUCAAGAUACACCUGCGCUAGCUUCUCACCUGCCCAAGUGUUGUGGAUCGGCAGAAAAUGCGCCGAUUUCGUCAAACGAUCCACAAUCACCCAAAUCGCGUCAUGGCCACUCGUCGAGCGAGGUAAACCAAUGACGAAGUCCAUCGACACGUCUUCCCAUUUCCAGACGGGAAUGGAUAAACUCUGAAGCUUCCCCGCUGGAAACCGACACUUCGCUUUCACCUGUUGGCAUACCAAACACUUCGCCACGAAGCGCCCAAUAUCGGCCUUCAUUCCCGGCCACCAAUAAAGCGUCUUCAACUCAUGGAACAUCUUGGUGCCGCCCGGGUGGUCGACGUAAGGAGACCAAUGCGCUUCUUGCAAAAUUAGCUUGCGAAGCUCCUCGUCGUUUGGCACACACCACCGGUUCCGAAACCGAAGUGCACCACUAGCAUCCAUGCUAAAAUCUCCACCACGGCCACUCUCAACAUUGUGCCACACCUUCUGGAGAAUUGGGUCCGCCGGUUGCAGACUUUUGAUCCUCUCCAGUAAGGUCGGUUGGAUCACCAACGUCAUCAACCUAGCCGGAAUUUCUGGAGCCACCACCUCAAGAUCCAUCUUCCCCAUUUGUAAUCGCAGGGGCGUCUAACUUGUAACCCACAAAGCUAGGUUCUCCGCGGAUUUUCGGCUAAGUGCAUCCCCACAUUUGCUUUUCCGGGGUGGUAAAGGAUAUCAACAUCGUAAUCCUUAAGCAAUUCCAACCACCGCCGUUGUCGCAUGUUCAGCUCCUUCUGGGUAAAUAAGUAGUUUAGGCUUUUAUGGUCGGUGUAGAUCUCACAAUGAGCACCAUAUAAAUAGUGUCUCCAAAGCUUCAAAGCAAAGAUCACCGCCGCCAAUUCCAAAUCAUGUAUGGGGUAGUUCUUUUCAUAGCUUUUCAACUGACGGGAUACAUAAGUGAUCACCCCCCCGCCUUGCAUCAGCACACACCCCAAACCCAGAUAGGAUGCAUCGCUAUAUACUACAUAAUUUUCACCCUGCACCAGCAAGGCGAGUACCGGAGUCGUAGUUAAUCUUUUCUUCAACUCUUUAAAACUCCGGUCGCAGUCGUCGCUCCAAACGAAUUUGAUGCCCUUCUGCGUCAGACGGGUGAGUGGAGUCACGAUCUUCGAAAAUCCUUCCACAAACCGUCGAUAAUAACCUGCUAGGCCUACAAAACUCCGGACCUCAGCAACGUUUGUCGGGCGCGGCCAACUCUCAAUCGCCUCUACUUUCCUCGGGUCCACAGAAACACCGCCCUCGGAAAUAACAUGCCCGAGAAAAGCGACUUCUCGGAGCCAGAAGUCACACUUCUUUAGCUUUGCGUAUAAUUUCUUCUCCCGAAGGAUCUGAAGUACUACGCGCAAAUGCUCCGCAUGCUCCUCUUCACUGUGUGAAUAGACCAAGAUGUCGUCUAUGAAGACUACGACAAAUCGGUCUAGACACUCCCUGAACACUCGGUUCAUCAAGCUCAUGAACGCAGCCGGGGCAUUUGUAUGCCCAAAUGGCAUCACGGUGAACUCGUAGUGUCCAUACCGCGUACGGAAUGCGGUCUUCGGAACAUCCUCCGGCUUAAUCUUCAAUUGAUGGUAGCCGGAUUGAAGGUCAAUCUUCGAGUACACCCGCGACCCCUGUAACUGAUCAAACAAGUCGUCAAUGCGGGGUAACGGGUACUUGUUCUUCACGGUGACCUUAUUCAACUCGCGAUAAUCCACGCAGAGUCGAAAAGAUCCAUCCUUCUUGCGCACGAACAAUACCGGGGCUCCCCACGGUGACACGCUCGGUCUGAUGAACUCCUUGUCGAGAAGAUCCUACAACUGAUCUCUUAACUCUCUUAACUCAGCCGGUGCCAUACGAUACGGGGCCUUUGAUAUCGGCGCGGUCCCGGGAAUCAAGUCUAUCAUGAACUCAAUUUUUCGGUCCGGCGGCAUCCCAGGUAACUCUGCCGGAAACACAUCUGGGAAUUCCCGCACAACCGCCAACUCUUCGAGAGUCGGAACUACUCGAUCAACUUCUACAACGGUCACCAGGUAAGCCGUGCAACCGCUGUUAACCAGCUUCCUCGCUCUUGUCGCCGAUAUCGUCGCGGCGAAACACGAACUCUUGCAAGCUCGAAACGUGAAUUCCUCGUGUCCCGGCUCCCGAAAUGUGAUCACUCUAGUUUUGCAGUCAAUAGACACAUAAUACUUCGAGAGCCAGUCGAUGCCCAAUAUAACAUCGAACUCCUUCAACCUUUUUAGCAGCAAUAGGUCGACCGACAUAAUCCAGUCGCCUACUUGUACUGGGCAUGCCAAACACCGCUUCCUAACAAGGAAUGAUCGUCCGGGUCCUUCUACACGCCAAACAUUCUCCCCCAGACGAAACUCAAUGUCAUGCACUUGUGCGAAUGAUCGAUUAAUGAAGGAGUGAGACGCGCCAGUAUCAAAAAGAGCUCUUGCUCGAACACCGUUAACCAAAAUCAUACCUGCCACCACAUUGCGCUCCUCAGCUUUGGUGGGCUCCUCUUCUUGCACUUGAGCGGCAUACAUCCUUCCGCUGAGAGCCGAUCGUGCAGGCUCAGGUUGACGUGGUGCCGCCGCACGCCCAGCCGACGGAACCCCAUAACGGGCUGGAAUUGCCUGAGUCGAUGCAACAGAUGGGGCCGGUGAGACCCAUCCUUGAGGACAGUCACGGAUGAUAUGCCCGGCUUGCCCGCACUUGAAGCACCUUCCUCGGCGCUGCUCACACACACCGGCUCGGUGGUCUCCGCCACAAAAGAUACACCGCUGUGCUCCACGGCCAUUCGAUUGCGAUCGUGGAUACUUCGGGGGCCUUCUAGAACUCGACUGUCCCCCCGAACCACCGCCCGGCCGCUUCUUCCCUUUAUCCUUCUCAUACAUCUCACGGUCCUCACGCUCACAGGCGUUCCCAUGCUAGACCCACAAGGCACGGUCCAAAGCCUCUGCAAAAGUGUGGAACUUAAAGGCAUGCACCGUCUUAAACACUCCGGGUCGGAGUCCUCUCACGAAGCAAUCCGCUCGGUCUUGCUCCGUUGUCGCCACGUCUGGGACGCAGUUCAGAAGAUGGGUGAAUUCCCGCUCAUACUCCCGAACCGUACGGUUGCCUUGCUUCAGCUUCCUGAAGUCUUCCCGCAUCUUUCUCUUGUCGCUGUCGGGGAAGUACUCCGCGAACAUCAAUCUUCGGAACUCCUCCCAAUUGAUCGGGGGAAGAUCCGAAGAUCGAUCCUGCUUCACUCUUUUCCGCCACACCCUGGCCCACUUGUCGAAACAAUGAGCGGCCAAAUUCACUUUGUCCCGCUUCUCGGUGUAAAUGUCCUCGAACAGGGUCUCCAUCGAGGCCAACCAAGUCUCCACUGUCCAAGGAUCUAUCACUUCUCCAUCGAAUGUAGGCGGGUGGAACUUCGUAAACCUCGUGAGAGCCGUGUAUCCACGCUCUCGCUCCGCCUCCUGAGCCGCUGCUCUGGGCGUAGGGGAUCUAGACGCCGCAGGAGGAAUAUCCACCGGUGGGGGUUGCGCCGCCACCGGAACCGGCGCAACGCCCACACUCUCAGCCGCAUUGGGAGCGCGAACCGAAGGCGCAGGCGGAUCGUGGCCUUGGCCAACCGCCGCAGCCGUUGCUUGACGCUCCAUAAGCUCCUGGAGCCGAUGAAACCCCCCUGCUAGCGCAGCAACCUGCGCUCGCAACUCUUGUACCUCACUAGCCCUAGCUGGCUCUAGCGCCACCGGAGGCACAGCUGACUCGGGCACCACAGGAGGUGGGGCCGGAGUAAUCCGACGCACGUAGCGUCUCUUCGGUGCCAUAAGCUCCUGAAACGCAAACAAUCGGUUAAUCACCUAACCCAACAACGUCUUCGCAGUUACGAAACGACAUAGCUCAACUACGUUAAUCAGACGGAAGCUCAUAAGUGUACCCGUUCUUGACUCUCGGCAUUGUGUUGUCGGCCGCCAACACAACCGCCUUAGGCCAAGGACUAGUAUCACUCAAUUCACCUCUAGAAACUACUAGAGCAUCAUCAUCCACUUCGACCCAAUCUAUCAACUUCCGUCGCAUCAUCGGUCCACGUCGUCCUCACGCACCUAUAACCUUAUGGUUCAACAUCCUAGAGUCUCCUAGGUCAGUCCUAGACUCUC